This 311-nucleotide unclassified non-coding RNA is filed under the name uncultured fungus. Its description in RNAcentral is "partial contains 5.8S ribosomal RNA and internal transcribed spacer 2". The stretch from base 1 to 133 matches the Rfam family "5.8S ribosomal RNA", at positions 22 to 154 of the family's 154-position model. Lineage: Eukaryota; Fungi. The record is from RNAcentral.
UGGUUCUGGCAUCGAUGAAGAACGCAGCGAAGUGCGAUACGUAGUGUGAAUUGCAGAAUUCCGUGAAUCAUCGAAUUUUUGAACGCAUAUUGCGCCUGCUGGUAUUCCGACAGGCAUGCCUGUUCGAGCGUCAUGAGCAUUUUCAAGCGCAGCUUGGUGUUGGGCGGCCGCUGUGUGACGGCGCUGCCUCAAAGGCAAGAAAGGAGUCUGGCCGGCCGUUUCCGGAGCGCAGCACAUGCGCAGAGGAAAGGGGAUGGGGCAGACGGUGUGACGACGAGCUUGACCUCGGAUCAGGCAAGGAUACCCGCUGA